ACUGUAGCACCCUGCUUGUGGUUAACGCUUAGCUGGAAUGAAAUAUUCAACGCAGCAAUAGAGAAAUUAAAAUAAUAAUUUAUUUGUCAGACAAAUAAAUGAGAGACACAGUGGUAUAUGGAUACCAAAGCUCUGCCUACUCCAGCCCUGAUGGCCAGCACUUAUAUUUCCUCAGCCCAGCCCCCUUGCUCCUCCUUUGGCUGCCUCUGUCCAAUCAGCCUGGUUGAAAUUCCUAUUGGCUGUUUGCUAGAACCAAUCAUAAAAGAUACACCCAUUUCCUAUUCCCUUUUAUGGGAGACAAAAAGCUAUAUUUCCUUGUAUCCAUAAAUGGCAGACAAGUAGCCAUAUAUCUUACAUUUACCUCGACCAGGCACCUCAAUUACCAGAUAACCUUUGGCCCCUGUUGCCCUAUUCACCGCAAACCAGAUGGCUAAAGCAGAUGGUGCAUGGUUUCUAAUUUUUUUAUCUUAAAGAGAUCUUGAGUUCACCUUCUCACCCACCAUAAUAGGAAUCUAACAUAAGAAUCUAACAUUUCUUACUUUCUAAAUCCUUUGCAUAAUCACAUUUAAGCCAAUAUAUUUCAUACAUAACAUAGAUAGAUUUUUAGAAGGAAAGGCCUUUUCAAAUUAGAAGGAACUUAGUGAAAGCUAAGUUCCUAAGUUCUAUAAAGAAACCUUUUCCCUAUCCAGCAGCUGUUUCUAAGAGCAACCUCUUCCAUUUAACCUUUAACCUUAUGGCUCGAGUCUUCUGUUAAACAAUAAAUUUCACUAUUUACCAGUUCUUAAUUGUGUUUUUACAGCUUGAUUGUAUUCUGGUCAGUGUGACCUUUUGCUCUCUGGCUCUAAUUUCCUUUUACAACCUUGAAAUACUUUUAUUUAUAGCAGUGGGGCCCCUUGAACAGCUGCCGGAGUAUUCAGCUGCUCUUCUCCCUUGCAUGAGAGAAAUAUAUUUACAAAUAUAAUUUUUUUAAGCUCAAAGCAGAUUUUGAUCAGAUGCCUCAUUCCCCCCUUUCAAGCUCAAGGACCUUCAUCCCAAGUGUCCUUGAUAGCUUGACCUUCGUCAUAUUCCUGAGGUAAAGCUCUGUAUAGGGCCAUAAUAUGAGGUAAAGUUUCAUUUGAAAUCAUCUUGCUAAUUGUACUUCUAAAACAUGAAAUGAUACAUGGCACCGUACAUAAAACCAUUACUACUACCGUCAAGAAAAACAAGCAAGACAAUAGUAUCCCUUUGAGUCCCGCAACAUUAGGUAACCAAUUGGUGAGCCAUCCCAUAUCCCAUCCUUCCCAUAUUUGUACUGGGACAUGUGCUAUACUCUCCAUCUUUGUGGCCAACACACGGAUUGCCUCACCAUUAUCAGAAAUGUUAAAGCAACAGGCAUUCCCUGUCAAGUUUAAGACUCCACAUAGGCCUCCCUGCCUGGCAAGUACAUAAUCCAUUCCCAUUUUCAGCUGCAAAAUGGCGGCUCUACUUUCAUCCAACUGUUGUGCAAUAAGUCUCAAACUCUGGGCCGUUGCAUUGGUUACAAGUUCCACUACUGCUUGCAAUCGAAUUAUUCUGUUUAGAUUAUAAAUAGGAUCCCGUGCCCCUUGUAUGAGCUCAUCAGGAUUCCAGGAGGCAGGCUCAUAAUAGGCUAUAAUGCGCUCUGGUGGCCAAUCAUCAGUAUCACUCCAACUUUGGGUACUUCCUCCUGCUAUAUGAGAAAUAUCAGCAUUUCUUCGUGUACGCUUUGCCGAACUAGUGGGCAUAAUCCACAUUGGUGGUAAUACCCAUCCCAGGAAACAAGUCCCACUCCAUUUGGGAGGGAGUUGCUUGUAUGCCCAUUCUCCACAUAUCCACCACAACCAUCGGGUCUGAGGUUUUUGGUACGUGGAGUGCAUAAGGCGAAAUAUCAAAAGGGGCAUAGAGUUCACAGUGCAGUAUGUUAGAUUGCCUUUUUCUGUCACAGUUAUGUUCCACACCAGUUUCCAUGCAUGAAUAAAAGGAGGUGCACAGGGCAAGGUAUUCCGAGUUCGAUAGGUAGUACCGUUUGCCCAGGUUUGACUAUUCUUAAUAUAAUCCCAAGUAUAGUGGCAAUGAGAAGAGCCUAUCAUGAUAGAAUCAGCUGCAGCUGAUAAUUUAUGUACACAGAAUUCCCCUUGCACAGGUAUAACUCGUAUUGGUUUAGUUGAGUUCCAUCCGGGGAAAUUCUGUACUUCUGUUUGGUGUGGCAUUUCGCUUACCAUACCAAUGGCAUUUAAUGGUAUCGGUAAUAAGGGCAUACCUCCCUCUGAAUCAUCUGGUCCAAGAGAGCAAACAAGGCAAUUGGUCCUAUUUGUAACAUUGGCUACCAUCUCAGCUAAGCCUACCCACAUAUUGUGGUCAUGGCGGAAUCCAUAUUUAGCAAAUUUGGUCAGAUUCAAGGACCCUUCCCCUUCCCAAGGGAUCAGGAUUAAUAAUAAAAUCAUGUUGAUGUCUAGUAUAUGCAUUUCUUCCACAAAAGAUUACCUUAUUGUGAUAACAAAAAAUAUUAGGCCCAAUAUAAUUCCCCAAUGACAGAAAUGGGGAACCACCAAGACCAAAACAUAUAUCCCGAGGAUCCCCAAUGAGUAAUAUCCCUGAUAAUUGUUCCACGGGGGGCAGUCAAUCAAUUGUAUAAGAGAAUCUUCCUGUUCACAAUCGCUGGUUCAGACGCUCCUCAAGCUUCAGGCGUGCGCAGGUCAGCCAGCUUCCAGGUUGUGGCUGCAGCAGGCCAGUCGUCUAAUGUUGCCCGUGACCUAGCCCGUUCCCCGUAGGGCUAGAUACAGGGGGUUUUGGAGAGAGUCAGUUUAAAAGGAUUAGAGGGGUCACCUUUGCACGUCCAACUGCCUUCGGACUUCUUCAAACGGGAGUGAUGAAUCCAGGGGUCACCUCAGCUACCUUCACCGCUGUUGGAGUAGAGAGCAAGACGGUGUAAGGCCCACGCCACUUAGGUGCAAGUGGAUCACGUUUCCACUCUUUCACCCAUACGCUAUCGCCAGCCUGGAACUGAUGAAUCGGCUCGGCAAUGCUGCACGGCGUGCGCUCGAGGGCCCACCUGUUAAGAGAAACAAAAACACGGGAGAGAGAUUGCACUUGUCCCUGUGUCACAUGGUCUCCUAUUUGUUUGAGGUCAGCUGAAAUAUCCUGAACAAAGGAGGGUGGCCUCCCAUACAGGAGCUCAAAAGGUGACAACUUAAGUCUUUUUGUGGGUGCACACCGAACACGAAACAGUGUUAUGGGUAACACAUCUACCCAUCCCAAUCCUGUUUCCUGGGUUAAUUUUGCCAAUUGGGUUUUCAGAGUCCGAUUCAUUCUUUCAGUUUUCCCCGAACUUUGAGGCCUAUAUGCUGCAUGCAGUCUCCAUUUCACUUGUAGGACUCGACAUACUUCUUGUACUACUUGAUCAAUGAACGCUGGCCCAUUAUCACUUCCAAUGCAUCUAGGUAAUCCAAACCUCGGGAUCAAUUCAGUGAGGAGUCUCUUAGUUACCUCUCGUGCCUUUUCAGUCCUGGUGGGAAAAGCUUCAACCCAUCCGGUAAGGGUAUCUACAAACACAAGGAGGUACUUGAAUCCCUUAGAAGGGACCAGCUCUGUGAAGUCCACAAUUAGGCUUUCCAUGGGGACGUAUCCCACAUGUUGGAUUCCAGGAGGUUGUACCGGUCCCUGCCUGGGAUUGUUUUUAGCACAAAGAACACAUUUCUGUGAAAUGCAAGUUGCUAAUUGUGAUAGGUUAAUAAUAUACAACUUCCGACUAAGACUCUCUCUGGUUGCAGUACCACCAAGGUGAGUAGAUUCAUGAUAAUUUCUUACAAUUGUGCCUGCUAGGUGAUGAGGUACAUAAAUCCUAUUGUCCGGCAGGAUCAUCCAACCGUCCUUCACAACCGCUCCUUCCUGUUCAGCCCACUUCCUCUCUUCUGGGGUAUAGUGAGGUUUAAUUUCUUCUGGAACUACCUCUGGUAUGAGGGCUGCUAUAAAUCCUCCCACAGGCUUCUGGGCUGCCUCUCGGGCUGCUUUGUCAGCAGCAUGAUUUCCUCUGGUUAUUGGAUCCCUUCCACGUCCAUGACCUUUGCAGUGCAUUACAGCAAUCUGUUCUGGAGCCCAUACUGCUUCCAACAGGAUUUCUACUUCAGGUCCAUAUUUCAAGGCCUUCCCAUGGGCUCCGAUUAGACCUCUUUCUUUCCAUAGAGCUCCAUGUGCAUGCAGGGUUAAGAAGGCAUAUUUAGAAUCAGUAUAGAUGUUUGCCUUACAUCCGGCUGCCAAUUGCAGAGCUCUAGUUAAACCUAUAAGUUCAGCCUUUUGUGCUGAGGUGCCAGCAGGCAAAGCUUCAGCUUCCACAACUUCCUCAUUGGUGACCACAGCAUAUCCUGCUCGUCUGGCACCUUCAUGCAGGUAACUGCUACCAUCAGUAUAAUAUACAACAUCUGGAUUUUUCAAUGGUUCAUCUUUCAGAUCGGGUCUACUGGAAUACACUUCAUCCAUUAUUUGGAGACAAUCAUGUGAUUCUUCAUCAUCUACCUCUGGUAGGGGCAGCAAAGUUGCUGGAUUGAGCAUAUUCACUACUCGUAGAUGAAUCCUGGGAUUUUCACACAAUAGGCCUUGGUAUCUAGCCAUCCUUGGAUUCGUUAGCCAAUAACUACCCUUAUAUUCCAUGAGUGUCAGAACAGCAUGAGGUACAUUCACAUACAUCGUCUGGCCAAAGGUAAAUUUAUCAGC
RNAcentral lists this long non-coding RNA (4707 nucleotides) under Podarcis lilfordi (Lilford's wall lizard). The record is from RNAcentral. Lineage: Eukaryota; Metazoa; Chordata; Lepidosauria; Squamata; Lacertidae.